Molecule: small nucleolar RNA, 131 nt
Organism: Perognathus longimembris pacificus (Pacific pocket mouse)
Lineage: Eukaryota; Metazoa; Chordata; Mammalia; Rodentia; Heteromyidae
Product: small nucleolar RNA SNORA33
Exons: 1
Source: RefSeq, a predicted model, not a curated record
UAGCCAGCCAGUUGGUUUGCUUACCUAAAUGUGUUUAUGAAGAGAUUCAGAUAAAGCUGGUAAUAAUAGUGACAUGAUAGAAGCCUGAAGCACAAUCAAAGUCGUUAAAGUCCUUGGGAAUGGCUACAACA